GCUUUGUAUAGGAGAGACGGUUGGCAUCUCCCCUGAUAGGGACGGGAACAGCUUUUGGGCUUUCCUCCAUCACACUGCAGUUAAGGCUACCCGCUUCGGCGGAUCUUACCCAAAUUUUAA
Oryza glaberrima (African rice) is the source of this 120-nucleotide non-coding RNA. NCBI's taxonomy places the organism in Eukaryota, Viridiplantae, Streptophyta, Magnoliopsida, Poales, Poaceae. The record is from Rfam.